UACGUAGGGGGCAGGCGUUGUCCGGAUUCAUUGGGCGUAAAGAGCGUGUAGGCGGCCAGGUCGGUCGGUUGUGAAAACUGGAGGCUCAACCUUCAGACGUCGACCGAAACCAUCUGGCUAGAGUCCGGGAGAGGAGAGUGGAAUUCCUGGUGUAGCGGUGAAAUGCGCAGAUAUCAGGAAGAACACCCGUGGCGAAGGCGGUUCUCUGGGACGGUACUGACGCUGAGACGCGAAAGCGUGGGGAGCGAACAGG
RNAcentral lists this ribosomal RNA (253 nucleotides) under uncultured bacterium. RNAcentral's name for it is "partial 16S ribosomal RNA". It matches the Rfam family "Bacterial small subunit ribosomal RNA", at positions 524 to 776 of the family's 1533-position model. The record is from RNAcentral.